AUGGCACGUCCACCAACAAACCGGGAAAACAUAAUCUUAUGGCACACAAUGAGGCAACGAAGAGUGAAAAUACUCAUACUUUUAUAUCUGUUGUUGCAAAUCUUCAUGAUGUUACUUAGGAGGAGUCGAUAUAGGAUGCGUCGAAUUAGGAAACCUUCUUGGUAUGACCCAAUUACUCGAGCACAAACCCUGAACAACAAGAUACGAGUAAGCGAUACAGAAUGCAUUUUCCAACUACAGAUGGAUAGGCGUUGUUUCAGAGUGUUAUGUUCUUUGGUAAGAAAAAUAGGUGGGUUGAAGGAUACUAGGCAUAUGAGCGUGGAAGAAUCGGUUGCCAUGUUUCUUCACAUACUUGCACAUGAUGAGAAAAAUCGAGCAAUCCAUCAUGAUUUCCAGCGUUCACCUGAAGUAGUAAGUCGGAAAUUCCAUGAAGUACUAGGCGCAGUUUUAAAACUCUGGAAAGUGUUGCUUAAGAAGCCUCGACCAAUUCCAGCCAAUUGCGCUGAUGGAAGGUGGAAGUGCUUUAAGAAUUGUUUAGGUGCCUUAGAUGGGACAUAUAUAGAAGUUCAUGUGCCCAAAACUGACAAACCAAGAUUUCGUUCAAGAAAGAAUGAAGUUGCAACAAAUGUUCUUGGCGUAUGUGCGCCAGACAUGCAAUUCAUUUAUGUAUAUCCGGGUUGGGAAGGAUCUGCGGCUGAUGGGAGGGUGCUUCGAGAUGCUUUAUCAAGAUCAAAUGGCCUUAAGGUUCCUCGGGGGUGCUAUUAUCUAGUUGAUGCUGGCUACAAGAACUGUGAAGGGUUUCUUGCUCCAUACAGAGGGCAACGGUAUCAUCUAAAUGAUUGGAAAACCCCCCCAACAAAAAACAGGAAUUGUUUAACAUGCUGCAUUCAUCAGCAAGAAAUGUGA
RNAcentral lists this ribosomal RNA (906 nucleotides) under Triticum aestivum (bread wheat). RNAcentral describes it as "partial small subunit ribosomal RNA". Lineage: Eukaryota; Viridiplantae; Streptophyta; Magnoliopsida; Poales; Poaceae. The record is from RNAcentral.